GAGCCUGCUUCGGAUUCUGUGUCUCCUUCUCUCUGCCCACCCCCCUCCACUCACACUCUGUCUCUCUCAAAAAUAAAUAAAACUUAAAAAAAUUUUUUUAAGUAAUUUUAAAAGAAGAGUUUCCGGGUGGCGUGUUUUCUGAAUCUGCACAGCUCUGAAUGUCUUCUUUUGUUUUCCUAAAUUCACUACUGGGGUACAACAUGUAUUUUAUCACAACUUCUCACCUUCGAAAUCGAUUUAGACUUUGGCCCACUGUGUCUGGGCAUUUUAUCCUACAACGGUGAAGCCUGCAUUCAGCCAGAAUUCCAUUGCUUUGUCGUGCCAGUGGAGAAGUGUUAUGGACUAAAUUGUGUCCUCCCACCAAAUUCUUAUAUUGAGGCCCUAACCCCCACGGUGACGUACUUGGACACAGGGCUUGGAAGAGGCUGUUAAUGGUUGGAUGAGGUCACAAGCGUAGGCCUGAAUAAGAUUAGUGCCCUUAUAAAAAGAGGAAGAGGCCUCAGAGAUCACCCUACAUGCACAGAAGAAGGGCAUGUGAGGAGAGGAGGAAGGAGGAGGCCCCACUCCAAGCCAGGAGCAAAAUCUCACCAGGAAUGGAGUCUGCUGGCACCUCCAUCUGGGACCUCCAACCUCCAGGCCCGUGAAAAAUAAAUGCCUAUUGUCCAAGGUG
Molecule: long non-coding RNA, 670 nt
Organism: Felis catus (domestic cat)
Lineage: Eukaryota; Metazoa; Chordata; Mammalia; Carnivora; Felidae
Exons: 2
Source: RefSeq, a predicted model, not a curated record